Molecule: ribosomal RNA, 393 nt
Filed under: uncultured bacterium
Lineage: Bacteria
Description: partial 16S ribosomal RNA
Rfam family: Bacterial small subunit ribosomal RNA
Source: RNAcentral
AUACGGAGGAUGCGAGCGUUAUCCGGAUUUAUUGGGUUUAAAGGGAGCGUAGGUGGGAUAUUAAGUCAGCUGUGAAAGUUUGGGGCUCAACCGUAAAAUUGCAGUUGAAACUGGCAGUCUUGAGUACAGUAGAGGUGGGCGGAAUUCGUGGUGUAGCGGUGAAAUGCUUAGAUAUCACGAAGAACUCCGAUUGCGAAGGCAGCUCACUAGACUGUUACUGACACUGAUGCUCGAAAGUGUGGGUAUCAAACAGGAUUAGAUACCCUGGUAGUCCACACAGUAAACGAUGAAUACUCGCUGUUUGCGAUAUACAGUAAGCGGCCAAGCGAAAGCAUUAAGUAUUCCACCUGGGGAGUACGCCGGCAACGGUGAAACUCAAAUGAAUUGACGGGG